Molecule: ribosomal RNA, 128 nt
Filed under: Pogona vitticeps (central bearded dragon)
Lineage: Eukaryota; Metazoa; Chordata; Lepidosauria; Squamata; Agamidae
Source: RNAcentral
AGCAAUGGUGAGACCACCAUGACACAUUGAACAUGCCCAAUCUCAACUGUUUCCAGAAGUUAAGCAAGGUUGGACCGGUUUACGUUGGAAAUGGGAGACCACCAAGGAUCUCUUGACAGCUGCUGCUC